RNAcentral lists this ribosomal RNA (3046 nucleotides) under Proteus sp. ZN5. Its description in RNAcentral is "23S ribosomal RNA". It matches the Rfam family "Bacterial large subunit ribosomal RNA". Lineage: Bacteria; Pseudomonadati; Pseudomonadota; Gammaproteobacteria; Enterobacterales; Morganellaceae. The record is from RNAcentral.
GGGUUGUGAGGUUAAGCGAAUAAGCGUACACGGUGGAUGCCUAGGCAAUCAGAGGCGAUGAAGGACGUGCUAAUCUGCGAUAAGCGUCGGUAAGGUGAUAUGAACCGUUAUACCCGACGAUUUCCGAAUGGGGAAACCCAAUAUCCAAUGGAUAUUAUCAUGACGUGAAUACAUAGCGUCAUGAAGCGAACCGGGAGAACUGAAACAUCUCAGUACCCCGAGGAAAAGAAAUCAACCGAGAUUCCCCUAGUAGCGGCGAGCGAACGGGGAACAGCCCAGAGUCUUAAUCAAUAGCAGCAUCAGGAGAACGGUCUGGAAAGUCCGGCAGUAAAGGGUGAUAGCCCCGUAUCUGAAGAUGCUGUUAUUGUGAACUCGACGAGUAGGGCGGGACACGUGUUAUCCUGUCUGAAUAUGGGGGGACCAUCCUCCAAGGCUAAAUACUCCUGAUUGACCGAUAGUGAACCAGUACCGUGAGGGAAAGGCGAAAAAGAACCCCGGCGAGGGGAGUGAAAAAGAACCUGAAACCGUGUACGUACAAGCAGUAGGAGCCCCACCACUAAGCUAGUGGUGAACUCACUAGCGAUUCUUUUUGCAUGAUAAUGUGCGGUAGACGGAGCGAAUGCGACGUUCAACCAACAAAAAUCAAGCAGAGGAGGCUUAGUGGUGGGGUGACUGCGUACCUUUUGUAUAAUGGGUCAGCGACUUAUAUUCUGUAGCAAGGUUAACCGUAUAGGGGAGCCGUAGGGAAACCGAGUCUUAACUGGGCGAAUGAGUUGCAGGGUAUAGACCCGAAACCCGGUGAUUCAUCCAUGGGCAGGUUGAAGGUUGGGUAACACUAACUGGAGGACCGAACCGACUAAUGUUGAAAAAUUAGCGGAUGACUUGUGGAUGGGGGUGAAAGGCCAAUCAAACCGGGAGAUAGCUGGUUCUCCCCGAAAGCUAUUUAGGUAGCGCCUCGUGAACUCAUCUUCGGGGGUAGAGCACUGUUUCGACUAGGGGGUCAUCCCGACUUACCAACUCGAUGCAAACUGCGAAUACCGAAGAAUGUUAUCACGGGAGACACACGGCGGGUGCUAACGUCCGUCGUGAAGAGGGAAACAACCCAGACCGCCAGCUAAGGUCCCAAAGUCAUGGUUAAGUGGGAAACGAAGUGGGAAGGCUCAGACAGCCAGGAUGUUGGCUUAGAAGCAGCCAUCAUUUAAAGAAAGCGUAAUAGCUCACUGGUCGAGUCGGCCCGCGCGGAAGAUGUAACGGGGCUAAACCAUGCACCGAAGCUGCGGCAGCGACACUUAUGUGUUGUUGGGUAGGGGAGCGUUCUGUAAGCCUGCGAAGGUGUGCUGUGAGGCAUGCUGGAGGUAUCAGAAGUGCGAAUGCUGACAUAAGUAACGAUAAUGCGGGUGAAAAAAACCCGCACGCCGGAAGACCAAGGGUUCCUGUCCAACGUUAAUCGGGGCAGGGUGAGUCGACCCCUAAGGCGAGGCUGAAAAAGCGUAGUCGAUGGGAAACGGGUUAAUAUUCCCGUACUGGUGGUAACUGCGAUGGGGGAACGGAGAAGGCUAGGUUGUCCGGGCGACGGUCGUCCCGGUUCAAGCAUGUAGGCAGAGUGAUUAGGCAAAUCCGGUCACUUAAUGCUGAGGUGUGAUGACGAACCACUAAGGUGGUGAAGCAAUUGAUGCCCUGCUUCCAGGAAAAGCCUCUAAGCUUCAGGUUACCAACAAUCGUACCCCAAACCGACACAGGUGGUCAGGUAGAGAAUACUCAGGCGCUUGAGAGAACUCGGGUGAAGGAACUAGGCAAAAAUGGUGCCGUAACUUCGGGAGAAGGCACGCUGGCGGUAAGUGAAGUCCCUUGCGGACGGAGCCGAAGCCAGUCGAAGAUACCAGCUGGCUGCAACUGUUUAUUAAAAACACAGCACUGUGCAAACACGAAAGUGGACGUAUACGGUGUGACGCCUGCCCGGUGCUGGAAGGUUAAUUGAUGGGGUUAUCCUUAGGGAGAAGCUCUUGAUCGAAGCCCCAGUAAACGGCGGCCGUAACUAUAACGGUCCUAAGGUAGCGAAAUUCCUUGUCGGGUAAGUUCCGACCUGCACGAAUGGCGUAAUGAUGGCCAGGCUGUCUCCACCCGAGACUCAGUGAAAUUGAACUCGCUGUGAAGAUGCAGUGUACCCGCGGCAAGACGGAAAGACCCCGUGAACCUUUACUAUAGCUUGACACUGAACAUUGAGCCUUGAUGUGUAGGAUAGGUGGGAGACUAUGAAGUGUGGACGCCAGUCUGCAUGGAGUCAACCUUGAAAUACCACCCUUUAACGUUUGAUGUUCUAACCUAGGUCCAUAAUCUGGAUCGGGGACCGUGUCUGGUGGGUAGUUUGACUGGGGCGGUCUCCUCCUAAAGAGUAACGGAGGAGCACGAAGGUUGGCUAAGCAUGGUCGGACAUCAUGCGGUUAGUGCAAAGGCAUAAGCCAGCUUGACUGUGAGAGUGACGGCUCGAGCAGGUACGAAAGUAGGUCUUAGUGAUCCGGUGGUUCUGAAUGGAAGGGCCAUCGCUCAACGGAUAAAAAGGUACUCCGGGGAUAACAGGCUGAUACCGCCCAAGAGUUCAUAUCGACGGCGGUGUUUGGCACCUCGAUGUCGGCUCAUCACAUCCUGGGGCUGAAGUAGGUCCCAAGGGUAUGGCUGUUCGCCAUUUAAAGUGGUACGCGAGCUGGGUUUAGAACGUCGUGAGACAGUUCGGUCCCUAUCUCGCCGUGGGCGUUGGAAGAUUGAGAGGGGUUGCUCCUAGUACGAGAGGACCGGAGUGAACGCACCACUGGUGUUCGGGUUGUCAUGCCAAUGGCAUUGCCCGGUAGCUAAGUGCGGAAGAGAUAACCGCUGAAAGCAUCUAAGCGGGAAACUUGCCUCGAGAUGAGUCUUCCCUGUCACCUUGAGUGACCUAAAGGAACGUUUAAGACUAAGACGUUGAUAGGCUGGGUGUGUAAGCGUAGCGAUACGUUGAGCUAACCAGUACUAAUGAACCGUGAGGCUUAACCUGACAACACCGAAGGUGUUU